CACGCCCUAAACGAUGUCGACUAGUCGUUCGGAGCAGCAAUGCACUGAGUGACGCAGCUAACGCGUGAAGUCGACCGCCUGGGGAGUACGGCCGCAAGGUUAAAACUCAAAGGAAUUGAC
Molecule: ribosomal RNA, 120 nt
Filed under: uncultured bacterium
Lineage: Bacteria
Description: partial 16S ribosomal RNA
Rfam family: Bacterial small subunit ribosomal RNA
Source: RNAcentral